Molecule: long non-coding RNA, 895 nt
Filed under: Bemisia tabaci
Lineage: Eukaryota; Metazoa; Arthropoda; Insecta; Hemiptera; Aleyrodidae
Description: lncRNA ENSSSA1UGG010431
Source: RNAcentral
UCAAAUGAGGGGAAAUAUCGAUGAUCAAUCACUCGCGCCACGCCACUGGGUAAAAAAAUAAUUCCUCCUCCGGCGGGAGUUAGACAACUUAACGAUCAAUGUUGUUCUAGCCUAGCGUCACGACCGACGCGUCUUGUCGUGGUUUCGUCUGGUCGAGCCGGAUCCGCGUGGACCGCCGGACUGCACGGAUCAGCUGAUUUUCCCGCGCUAGAGACUCAACGCCCAUCUACUGUUUCAUGGACUGUUUUUAUUCUAGGUGGAUUUUUGAGUCUCAGUCAUGGAAAUCAACACGAAAAUCUGCCUACUUGUGUGCGCGUUCGCGAUGGCUCGUGAAUUUCGGCCCAUAGAACCGUUUUUUUGCCGAGUUCCUGAUCGGGCCGGACGUGGGAUUUUCUGAGAAACAGGCCGUUCAAGAUAUCUUCGUCAUCUGGGCAUACUCGAGUUUCUUUCUCGUUAUCCUCGUGUUCCUGAUCACGGAUUUUGUCCGAUACAAACCAAUCAUAAUCGCCGAUGGAAUUGCUGGCAUCAUGACCUACGUUCUUCUUCUCGGAAAACCCUCAGUUCGAAUGAUGCAGAUCGAGCAGAUGUUCUACUCGUUCUUCUACUCAUCGGACACGGCAUAUUACACUUACAUGUACGCGAAAAUCGAGGACAAAAUGACGUACAACCGAAUUACGGCUACGUGCGGGCGUGUGUCUUGUUCGGCAAGUUCGUGAGCGGCUGUCUGUCACAACUCUACGUCACCAUCCAACACGCCGGAAUCAGUGCAAGCAAACUACCCCUCGUCUACUUGAGCAUCGGAGGUAUGUAAAUAUUGUCUAUCGCCUGAAAAUGUAUCGAAGGCCCCGCUCCCCGCAUCUUAUCACGUGAGACCAAUAUCCCGCACUUGGAGCAC